AAGAAUGGGUUAUUUGUUAUUACGAAGCAAAGGUAAGAUGAGAUGGACCGUAAGAUCUGUCUACUUGAGUAAGGUGAGUAGACUAUCUUUACUAAUCCGUAAUAGGUCCUUUUGUAAUGCCCAUGCCUCGAAAAUUAGGUUAGUAGAAUCAGGUAUUUAAACUAGGGGUUGAGUCAAGUAUCAAAAAGUGGGUAAUUAAAGAAUUAAAGUUACAUAUUU
RNAcentral lists this long non-coding RNA (219 nucleotides) under Gossypium barbadense (sea-island cotton). RNAcentral's name for it is "long non-coding RNA (GBAR_LNC000843)". Lineage: Eukaryota; Viridiplantae; Streptophyta; Magnoliopsida; Malvales; Malvaceae. The record is from RNAcentral.